RNAcentral lists this ribosomal RNA (681 nucleotides) under uncultured bacterium. RNAcentral's name for it is "bacterial SSU rRNA". It matches the Rfam family "Bacterial small subunit ribosomal RNA", at positions 60 to 730 of the family's 1533-position model. The record is from RNAcentral.
AGUCGAGGGGCAGCGGGAUUGAAGCUUGCUUCAAUUGCCGGCGACCGGCGCACGGGUGAGUAACGCGUAUCCAACCUUCCGUACACUCAGGGAUAGCCUUUCGAAAGAAAGAUUAAUACCUGAUGGUAUGAUGAGAUUGCAUGAUAGCAUCAUUAAAGAUUUAUCGGUGUACGAUGGGGAUGCGUUCCAUUAGGUAGUAGGCGGGGUAACGGCCCACCUAGCCAACGAUGGAUAGGGGUUCUGAGAGGAAGGUCCCCCACAUUGGAACUGAGACACGGUCCAAACUCCUACGGGAGGCAGCAGUGAGGAAUAUUGGUCAAUGGACGAGAGUCUGAACCAGCCAAGUAGCGUGAAGGAUGAAGGUCUUACGGAUUGUAAACUUCUUUUAUAAGGGAAUAAAACCUCCCACGUGUGGGAGCUUGUAUGUACCUUAUGAAUAAGCAUCGGCUAACUCCGUGCCAGCAGCCGCGGUAAUACGGAGGAUGCGAGCGUUAUCCGGAUUUAUUGGGUUUAAAGGGAGCGCAGACGGGUCGUUAAGUCAGCUGUGAAAGUUUGGGGCUCAACCUUAAAAUUGCAGUUGAUACUGGCGUCCUUGAGUGCGGUUGAGGUGUGCGGAAUUCGUGGUGUAGCGGUGAAAUGCUUAGAUAUCACGAAGAACUCCGAUUGCGAAGGCAGCGCACU